ACACCUGAUUUGGGGCUAGUAGAAGGAUUAGUUUAGGGAAGACAUUAAUUUCACCUUAGGAGUCGAGUUCUGACUUUUUGUGAAGAUUUCCCAGCCAACUAUUGAAGGAAGGAAUGACACAGGUGCUAGGCACAAAGUAAGAUAUGAAGCAAUAUCUGAUAAUGGAAUGAAAUCAAGGGCUACUAAGUCUCCACCAAUAAACUUAUGUCUUUCCAGGUAUGGCUAACCUCUACUGAAAACAACUGAAAAUGAGUCUUUUACACAGUUCCUUCUUUCCCAAAAAUACUGUGAGCAAGACCUCACUAAAUGAAUAAGCAAGAAGGGGAUUGAAGGAUUCUCAAUCAAUUGACAGAAUGCCAUCAGCUUCAUGGGAUAGAACAACAACAACAUUAACAAAAAAAGAGAAACAAAUGAUUAUUCAAUGAUCAUAUCAAACACACAUGCUACAACUGAAAACUGUUGGCCAAACAUUAUUGGAGAAGGACAAAAAAAGACAGACACAUUUAGGAACCAGUACAGGUGGCAAUUAAUGCAUUUCCACUACAAUGGUACUUGGAAACAAGCAAGAACUGAUGAACAAUACUUUGGGAGACCAAAGCAAGAAAAUUUUCUUUUUAAUGAAGAAAUCCUGGUGUGUAUCUGUGAGUAUAUGUGUGUGUGUAAAAUAUGAUUGUGCACAAUUCAGUAAAGCCUUUCAAUGUAGCAAAGUUUAAAAAAAAAGUGUCACAAAAAGAGAAAUUGACUCUGUUGCUGAAAUUUUCUUCCCAUUUAUUUUCUCUUAGUGGAAACUUACUUAAAAAAAUAAAUAUAUAAAAGCACUAACACUGAUAACUACUUCACAGGUAUACCUGCAAUAGGAUGUCACAUACUACAUGAUAAGUAAUUAGAGCUGCAGGUUAGUUUCAUAUUAAAAGACAAUAUUUGUGUGAAAGGGUGCUACAACUUACCAUAUCAACACCUUCUAAUUCCAUUUGUUCACUUCCAUUAGCAGGUCUUACCUUGUAGCUGAAUUUCAUUUUCAGAUAACUUUAACAAUCACACUGAAUCCCAUUUACAAAAAUGGAUAAGGGGGUGAGGAGAGAGGGAGAGAGACAGA
This is a long non-coding RNA of Antechinus flavipes (yellow-footed antechinus), 1096 nucleotides long. RefSeq lists it as uncharacterized. The record is from RefSeq and is a predicted model, not a curated record. The transcript has 5 exons. NCBI's taxonomy places the organism in Eukaryota, Metazoa, Chordata, Mammalia, Dasyuromorphia, Dasyuridae.